CAAGGCAAUUGUUCUGAGAUCACUGUAGUAGGGGGUGAAAGAUUUAAAACAGCUCAUCACUGUUGAAACAAAAAUGCCUGGUUGGAAUGGAUAAAAUCUUCUGUUCAUACUUUAAAUAAAAGCAAUGUAUAGGGGCUGGGAAUAUGGCCUAGUGGCAAGAGUGCUUGCCUUGUAUACAUGA
Molecule: long non-coding RNA, 181 nt
Organism: Perognathus longimembris pacificus (Pacific pocket mouse)
Lineage: Eukaryota; Metazoa; Chordata; Mammalia; Rodentia; Heteromyidae
Exons: 3
Source: RefSeq, a predicted model, not a curated record